AUUGCUUGGGUUCAGCAGCUUCUGAUCACAGACGAGAUGAUGGAGCUGUCAUAUCCUCUUACGUAAUGAUCGGGUAAUCCUUUUGAGUAUGUAAUGCAAUCUAACCACUGGGGGGAGAGAUUGAACAACUAAAAGAGGCGUAUAUAGGCCACAAGACGCUCUCCAUCUGCUCCGCUUUGACCAAUAGAUUUAAGAGGCACUACAGGAAAGAGCCGCACCAGGGAUUACGAUGGCACACCGGG
Long non-coding RNA from Corythoichthys intestinalis (scribbled pipefish), 242 nucleotides. RefSeq lists it as uncharacterized. The transcript is spliced from 3 exons. NCBI's taxonomy places the organism in Eukaryota, Metazoa, Chordata, Actinopteri, Syngnathiformes, Syngnathidae. The record is from RefSeq and is a predicted model, not a curated record.